CCUACGGGUGGCAGCAGUAGGGAAUAUUGCUCAAUGGGGGAAACCCUGAAGCAGCAACGCCGCGUGGAGGAUGAAGGUUUUCGGAUUGUAAACUCCUUUUGUUAGAGAAGAGAAUGACGGUAUCUAACGAAUAAGCACCGGCUAACUCCGUGCCAGCAGCCGCGGUAAUACGGAGGGUGCAAGCGUUACUCGGAAUCACUGGGCGUAAAGAGCGCGUAGGCGGGAUAGCAAGUCAGAUGUGAAAUCCUAGGGCUUAACCCUAGAACUGCAUUUGAAACUGUUAUUCUAGAGUAUGGGAGAGGUAGGUGGAAUUCUUGGUGUAGGGGUCAAAUCCGUCGAGAUCACGAGGAAUACUCAUUGCGAAGGCGACCUGCUAGAACAUAACUGACGCUGAUGCGC
RNAcentral lists this ribosomal RNA (399 nucleotides) under uncultured bacterium. RNAcentral describes it as "partial 16S ribosomal RNA". It matches the Rfam family "Bacterial small subunit ribosomal RNA", at positions 338 to 754 of the family's 1533-position model. The record is from RNAcentral.